Molecule: ribosomal RNA, 253 nt
Filed under: uncultured bacterium
Lineage: Bacteria
Description: partial 16S ribosomal RNA
Rfam family: Bacterial small subunit ribosomal RNA
Source: RNAcentral
GAUUCCUACGGGGGGCAGCAGUGGGGAAUAUUGGGCAAUGGGCGCAAGCCUGACCCAGCAACGCCGCGUGAAGGAAGAAGGCUUUCGGGUUGUAAACUUCUUUUCUGAGGGACGAAGAAAGUGACGGUACCUCAGGAAUAAGCCACGGCUAACUACGUGCCAGCAGCCGCGGUAAUACGUAGGUGGCAAGCGUUAUCCGGAUUUAUUGGGUGUAAAGGGCGUGUAGGCGGGAAAGCAAGUCAGAUGUGAAAAC